AACGAACGCUGGCGGCAGGCUUAACACAUGCAAGUCGAACGCCCCGCAAGGGGAGUGGCAGACGGGUGAGUAACACGUGGGAACAUGCCCAAAGGUACGGAAUAUUCUCGGGAAACUGGGAGCAAUACCGUAUGUGCCCGAAAGGGGAAAGAUUUAUCGCCUUUGGAUUGGCCCGCGUCAGAUUAGGUAGUUGGUGGGGUAAUGGCCUACCAAGCCGACGAUCUGUAGCUGGUCUGAGAGGACGACCAGCCACACUGGGACUGAGACACGGCCCAGACUCCUACGGGAGGCAGCAGUGGGGAAUCUUGGACAAUGGGCGCAAGCCUGAUCCAGCCAUGCCGCGUGGAUGAUGAAGGCCCUAGGGUUGUAAAAUCCUUUCGUUGGGGACGAUAAUGACGGUACCCAAAGAAGAAGCUCCGGCUAACUUCGUG
This 431-nucleotide ribosomal RNA is filed under the name uncultured organism. Its description in RNAcentral is "bacterial SSU rRNA". It matches the Rfam family "Bacterial small subunit ribosomal RNA", at positions 29 to 507 of the family's 1533-position model. The record is from RNAcentral.